ACAUACUCCUACUCUAAAAAUCCUAAAAACCCCAGAAAAAUUUAUCCACGAAUCCAACCGAAAAACACAUCCUUCAUGAAGAAAACCAGAAAAAAAACCUAGGCACUAUCCCAUCCACAGCGACGCACUAUGAAAAAAUGCAUGAUGAACAACGAUUUGAGCUCAACGUGUACGUCAUAGAUCUCUCCUUGCACACGUUGGCAAUCUGGAACUCAUCAAAUCAACCAAUCACA
Molecule: unclassified non-coding RNA, 233 nt
Filed under: Hevea brasiliensis (rubber tree)
Lineage: Eukaryota; Viridiplantae; Streptophyta; Magnoliopsida; Malpighiales; Euphorbiaceae
Source: RNAcentral